Molecule: non-coding RNA, 882 nt
Organism: Macaca mulatta (Rhesus monkey)
Lineage: Eukaryota; Metazoa; Chordata; Mammalia; Primates; Cercopithecidae
Source: RefSeq, a predicted model, not a curated record
AUUUCAGAAAGCAUUUCCUUAGAAUGAACACAUGAAGCUGAGUUCCUAGCACCUUCCCAUAAAGAUUUUAAUUGAGCUUAUAGUAAAGAAGCGCCGUAGUUGCUCUUGCAAGUUUUCUUGAGUUAUGGGAGCUACUUGCUUUCUUCCUUUUGCACCCAGAUCUUAGAUUCCAGAUUCCAGAUUCCAGAUCCUUUCUUAGAUUCUGGGUCCCAGACUUUUUUCUUAGAUUCUAGGUCACUGUAGAAACGCAGCACUGUUCUAACUCCUCUCCCGGGAGCUAAUCUCGCAAUGAAGGGACUACUCAGCCAGGUCAAGGAGUGACUGCCAAGGUUUUCUGCAAGAACUGACUUCUACGAGAAACCAAGGAAGAACUGAAGCAGGGGAAGGAGUUGAAGCUCCAAGCACAGGGAAAAUGACAAGAGGGUAAAGAAAUCAUGGCUGCUCUGGGCACCAGUGAGUAGCCGAAUACUGGGGCUCAAGGGUAUACUGGAGACCUUGGCUUUUUAUGUCCCUGACAUAACUUCACACUGCUGGAGCAAUGCUCAGAUUACUCAGGAAACACUGGCAAAUCUCAAGAUGCAGUUCAGGCUACUCCAUGAUGAGUGUGAGUCCCCAGGCUCUCUCUCAAACUAAAGAUUCCCCAGCCAGGCAACUCUAAAGAGUCUUCAACAAGGCAACACGAUUAUUCUGUGUGCUUAGAAGAGGGAUUAUAAAUGUCAGCUGUUGCUCUUUGAAUCCUGCUAAUUGAUUCAUUGACUCACUCAUCUUUCCCACAGGCAUGUGCUGUGAGUUGACUGUACUGCAUGACACUGGAGGUUAUAAAGAAAGAAAAUACUUGGGGCUUACUCUCUAUGAAAUAAAAUUCUAAUUCUUUCUACCAUA